Molecule: ribosomal RNA, 605 nt
Filed under: Wilhelminaia mathildae
Lineage: Eukaryota; Metazoa; Mollusca; Gastropoda; Stylommatophora; Euconulidae
Description: partial large subunit ribosomal RNA
Rfam family: Archaeal large subunit ribosomal RNA (bases 355-499)
Source: RNAcentral
CUAAUUAAAAAUUAAUUUCCCGAAAUUAAAAGAUCUAUUUUAUAAAUGAUUAACUGUUUCAAAAUUUUAUUAAUUUUAGAAUAGUAGUGAUAAGCUUACCAAUUUUAAUUAUAUCUGGAUAGAUUUUAAAUGUAUAUAGUGCUGGAAUAUUUCUAAUUAUAAAAAUGAUAAGAUUUUUUUAAUAAAGUAAAAUUUAUAUUAAUAUGUAAUUUAUAUGAUUUUUAUUAUAGAAUUAAUUAGUAUUAUUUUUUUCUUAAUAUUAAAAUCUUAUUAUAAUUAAUUCUUAUUAUAAUAAAUACUGUUAAAAUUAGUAUAUUAUUUAUAUUUUAAAAAAGAACUCGGCAAAAUUUUAUUCAACUGUUUAUCAAAAACAUAGUUUUAUGAAGUUAUAUAAAAUUAAUUCUGCCCAAUGAAAUUUUAAUGGCCGCAGUACUUUGACUGUGCUAAGGUAGCAUAAUAAAUUGGCUUUUAAUUGAAGUCUUGUAUGAAAGGAAUAAUGGAUAAAAACUGUUCUUUAAAAUUUUAUAAAAUUUAUUUAAAAGGUGAAAAUACCUUUAAUUUAAUAAUAGACGAGAAGACCCUAUGAGUUUUAAUUUUGUUGGGGC